GUGGCCAACAUCUGGGGAAAGUUCAAGUGUUCUGUGGCUCCUGUGGCAAACAUGUACAGUUUUUGGCAGAAGUUGAACACAACACCCCACAGAAGAGGACCUCAUUCGGAAAUACUUUAAUGAUAGCUUCAGCUACGAUGAAAUUUGGGAUUUUCUGGAAACUACCCACAAUGUAAAAAUGAGUCUGCGUACUUUAAAGAGUAAAUUAAAAAGUCUUUCAUUAUCAAGGAAAAAAAAACGACUCCCCUCUGGCUAAUGUUCGUGCUGCCAUUCAAGAGGAGCUAAAUGGACCUGGCCAGCAUUACGGUUACCGCUCGAUGUGUCAGACAUUGCGGCAAAAGCACUCCCUUACUGUAAAAAGGGAUGAGGUCAUGAACUUGAUGAGAGAGCUUGAUCCCUCUGGAGUUCAACUUCGCAGUAAUAGAAGAUUUGUACGAAGAACAUACAGCUCUGAAGGACCCAACCACGUCUGGCAUGUUGAUGGCUAUGAUAAGCUAAAGCCCUAUGGUUUGGCCAUCAGCGGAUGUAUUGAUGGCUACUCCAGAAAAGUAUUGUGGUUGAAGUGUGGAGCAUCAAACAAUGACCCUGGGGUCAUUGCUCAAAAUUACAUACGUUGUGUCACAGAGCAUGGAGUCAUACCUAUGAGGCUGCGGCACUGAAAACGGCACAAUGGCAGCCAUCCAGUGUGCUUUAAGAUCAAGACACACUGACCAUUUUGCUGGGGCUGCCGGUCACAUGUAUGACUCUUCAACAGCAAAUCAAAGAAUUGAAAGCUGGUGGUCGUACUUCAGAAAACAGAGGUCUCAAUUUUGGAUGGAUCUCAUGAAUGACCUGAGAGAAAAACAUCACUUCAGUGGCAGUCAUGCGCACACAUGCCUAGUGCGGUUUGUCUUCAUGGGUGUGCUACAGAGGGACCUUGACGAAUGCAGGGAAAAGUGGAACACGCAUAUUAUCAGACAUGUAAACCAGUCUCGUUGUCCAUCCAGGAAACCAGAUGUCAUGUACAACCUGCCACACAGGUACGGUGGAACUGACUGUGGGUUCCCAGUCCCACAAGACGACUUGGGCCAGUUUGUUCUGGACUCGACCAACAGUCUAUGUGGAGACGACCACUUCCAGGAACACUUUGAGAACCUUCAAAGAACGAGUGGUCUAAUG
This is a long non-coding RNA of Gymnodraco acuticeps, 1158 nucleotides long. RefSeq lists it as uncharacterized. The record is from RefSeq and is a predicted model, not a curated record. Lineage: Eukaryota; Metazoa; Chordata; Actinopteri; Perciformes; Bathydraconidae. The transcript is spliced from 4 exons.